UGAAACGUAGUAUAAAUAACAUAAAUUCCAACCCUAUUAGACUUAUUUACACUCUCUUCCACUUUCUUAAUUAUUUUACUCUUUCUCCCGAUUAAUAUACAUAACACAACCGUCAUAUACAUAAAAGUGUUAUGUGUAUGUAAAUCUUUAAAUGUCUAUUAAAAAGAAAAAUAACAGAUUUCCCUUCUAUUAUGGGCGUAACUAAUGCAGUAACAUUGAAUCCCUAAAUUUAUGUAACAACUCUACUAAUUUAAAUUUUGAAAACAACAAAUACAUAAAAAUUAGAUCAACCAGAAAACAUGAUUCACCAAAAACCUGAACAAUGAUUAUUGAUCUCUUUAAAAGAAAAAAAAUGUCUUUUGUGGAUUCAAGAAGAUGAAUAUUGCAAUUUUUUGGGCACUCUGAUGAGUGAAAAAUCAAAACAGAAUAUGUAAAGUACAAAAGUGAAGGGAUUGUUGUUACAGAAUUGAUAACUUAUUUGAAGUUUAUUUCGUCAAUUGUUGUUGAAUUAGACAUUGAUGAAGCUUGAAAAACUAUUGGUGCACGUUAUGUUGUCGAGUAGGUGUCAGUCACCAGUGAACAAAGGUCGGAUGAUGACUUCAAAUAUUGCUGAGUGUAUUAAUGGGUGUUUGGUGGAUGCCCAAAAAUUAUCAAAUACAUGAUAUUGUUAUUUAUAAAGUCAUACACAUAAGAAUGAAAUUUAGUUUUUUUCAUUCAUUUGUGGGUGUUACAUUACUCCAGUGAUAUAUCAUGAAAUUACGUGAGGGAGAUAUCUAAGAAUAUUAUAAAAUAUUCAUAAAUAUACGAAUAUAUCAUUCAAGUGGGAUAUGUAAUACCAUAUACAUAGCAAAGUGUUUUGUAUAUUAUGUACCCUGAAAUUUUCAAUUCAUAUACACAACAAUUUCUUUAUCCCAACAAUUCAGUACAUAUACACAAUAAUUUUUAUAUUUCAACAAUUUAGGUUAUACACACAACAAUUCAUAUAUAUAUAUAUAUACACACACACACACACAUAUAUAAAUAUAUACAUAUACUUGCUGUGUGAAUUUUUUUUCAUACAUAUCUUUUAAAAAUGUGUGUGUGUGUAUAUAUAUAUAAAUAUAUAUAUAUGUAAUAUUCUUAUAUAUAUAUAAGAUAUCUUAUUUCAUAUUAUUAACUUAUAUGUAUUUGAAGUCAUAUACAUAGGAUAUGAGGUUUAACCUCAGAUGCCUUUCUAAUUACUUAUAUAUACAUAUCUUAUAUAUAGGAGUAGAUACAUUUAUAAAAACCAUAUACACAAUGUGUUACAUAUGUCCUACCAUAAUUGCUAUGUAUAUAACGUACGCAUACCUGACUUAUAGAUAUGGUCACAUGAAAAUUAAUUACAUAACUGAAAAACACAUAUACAUAGCCUAGUACAAGUAAUAGACAGAUUAAUGAUAUGUAUAUGAUAAACACAUACAUAACGACUGUUAUGUGUAUGAAUUGGCAACUAGUAACAACACCCAUAAUACUUAAAAAAAUAGAAAUCUUGAACAAAAUAACAAGCAGAUUCAAAAACUAAAUAAAAAAAAUCUUUGGUAGAUGAGGCCAUGAAGUAUUCUUUUUUUUUUCUUUUUGACGAUUUUUUUAUUUGAUUUUUUGAAAUUUGGAAAAUAACUUUACUUUUUCAUCUUAACGGGGUCGUUAUGAUGUUUUGAUCAAUUUCACUGAAAUUAGAGUUCUUGUAAUCGAAAUUUUUAGGAACAAAUUUAAUACCCUAAUUUAUUUGUUUAUUAUGCUCUAAGUGAGUUAAUCCUAAACUAAAAGAUAGAGAAUCAUCUAUUACAAAGUAAUAGUUACUGAAUAAACGACAUACAAAAACUUAUUUAGUCAAACUCUUGAUUUGAUAAAGUAUAAAAAGAAAAAUAUUUCUAACUUUUAAUUUUAAAUUUAAGAAUGUUAUUAAUGGAGCUUCUGAAAAAAAAAAUGUCAUUGAAGAAGAUAUUGAAUCAAAUAUGAUUGAGAAUUCAAAAUUGAUAACUCAUAGAAAGUUGCUCUUUGAUUGUAGGCAUCUUUCAAGAAGUGAAAUCCGUAAAUAGAUAAUAGUAAAAUAAUGUAUAUGUACUUUUAGAGAGAGAAAUUGAAAAAGUGAAACUUUUGUAAUAUGUUUGGAGAGUUGGAAUUUUGUGUAAUAAGUGAUACUUAAGUUGUGGUUUUAUGUAAUUUUUAGUUACUGAAUCCGUAAAUUUAUGUAACAGCUCUACUAAUUCAAACUUUGAAAACAAUAAUUUCAUAAAAUUAGAUCAAUCAGAAAACAUAAUUCACCAAAAAAACUGAACAAUGAUUCUUAAUCUCUUUGAAAGAAAAAAUAUUUGUUUUGGAUUCAAGAAGAAGAAUAUUGUAAUUUUUUUAGGCACUCUGAUGAGUGAAAAAUCGAAAAGAAUAUGUAAAGGACAAAAGUGAAGGAAUUGUUGUCAUAAAAUCAAUAACUUAUUUGAUGUUUAUUUCGUCAAUUGUUGUUGAAUUAGACAUUGACGAAGCUUGAAAAACUAUUGAUGUAUUUUAUGUUGUCGAGUAGGUGUCAUUCACCGGUGAACAAAGGUCGGAUGAUGACUUCAAAUAUUGCUGAGUGUAUUAAUGGGUGUUUGGUGGAGGCCCAAAAAUUAUCAAAUACAUGAUAUUGUUAUUUAUAAAGUCAUACACAUAAGAAUGAAAUUUAAUUUUUUUCAUUCA
Molecule: long non-coding RNA, 2694 nt
Filed under: Capsicum annuum
Lineage: Eukaryota; Viridiplantae; Streptophyta; Magnoliopsida; Solanales; Solanaceae
Description: long non-coding RNA (CANN_LNC014551)
Source: RNAcentral